UAAGGGCGCACGGUGGAUGCCUUGGCACUAGAAGCCGAUGAAGGACGUUACUAACGACGAUAUGCUUUGGGGAGCUGUAAGUAAGCUUUGAUCCAGAGAUUUCCGAAUGGGGAAACCCAGCAUGAGUUAUGUCAUGUUAUCGAUAUGUGAAUACAUAGCAUAUCAGAAGGCACACCCGGAGAACUGAAACAUCUUAGUACCCGGAGGAAGAGAAAGAAAAUUCGAUUCCCUUAGUAGCGGCGAGCGAAACGGGAAGAGCCCAAACCAACAAGCUUGCUUGUUGGGGUUGUAGGACACUCUAUACGGAGUUACAAAGGACGACAUUAGACGAAUCAUCUGGAAAGAUGAAUCAAAGAAGGUAAUAAUCCUGUAGUCGAAAAUGUUGUCUCUCUUGAGUGGAUCCUGAGUACGACGGAGCACGUGAAAUUCCGUCGGAAUCUGGGAGGACCAUCUCCUAAGGCUAAAUACUCUCUAGUGACCGAUAGUGAACCAGUACCGUGAGGGAAAGGUGAAAAGCACCCCGGAAGGGGAGUGAAAUAGAACCUGAAACCGUGUGCUUACAAGUAGUCAGAGCCCGUUAAUGGGUGAUGGCGUGCCUUUUGUAGAAUGAACCGGCGAGUUACGAUUUGAUGCAAGGUUAAGCAGUAAAUGUGGAGCCGUAGCGAAAGCGAGUCUGAAUAGGGCGUUUAGUAUUUGGUCGUAGACCCGAAACCAGGUGAUCUACCCUUGGUCAGGUUGAAGUUCAGGUAACACUGAAUGGAGGACCGAACCGACUUACGUUGAAAAGUGAGCGGAUGAACUGAGGGUAGCGGAGAAAUUCCAAUCGAACCUGGAGAUAGCUGGUUCUCUCCGAAAUAGCUUUAGGGCUAGCCUCAAGUGAUGAUUAUUGGAGGUAGAGCACUGUUUGGACGAGGGGCCCCUCUCGGGUUACCGAAUUCAGACAAACUCCGAAUGCCAAUUAAUUUAACUUGGGAGUCAGAACAUGGGUGAUAAGGUCCGUGUUCGAAAGGGAAACAGCCCAGACCACCAGCUAAGGUCCCAAAAUAUAUGUUAAGUGGAAAAGGAUGUGGCGUUGCCCAGACAACUAGGAUGUUGGCUUAGAAGCAGCCAUCAUUUAAAGAGUGCGUAAUAGCUCACUAGUCGAGUGACACUGCGCCGAAAAUGUACCGGGGCUAAACAUAUUACCGAAGCUGUGGAUUGUCCUUUGGACAAUGGUAGGAGAGCGUUCUAAGGGCGUUGAAGCAUGAUCGUAAGGACAUGUGGAGCGCUUAGAAGUGAGAAUGCCGGUGUGAGUAGCGAAAGACGGGUGAGAAUCCCGUCCACCGAUUGACUAAGGUUUCCAGAGGAAGGCUCGUCCGCUCUGGGUUAGUCGGGUCCUAAGCUGAGGCCGACAGGCGUAGGCGAUGGAUAACAGGUUGAUAUUCCUGUACCACCUAUAAUCGUUUUAAUCGAUGGGGGGACGCAGUAGGAUAGGCGAAGCGUGCGAUUGGAUUGCACGUCUAAGCAGUAAGGCUGAGUAUUAGGCAAAUCCGGUACUCGUUAAGGCUGAGCUGUGAUGGGGAGAAGACAUUGUGUCUUCGAGUCGUUGAUUUCACACUGCCGAGAAAAGCCUCUAGAUAGAAAAUAGGUGCCCGUACCGCAAACCGACACAGGUAGUCAAGAUGAGAAUUCUAAGGUGAGCGAGCGAACUCUCGUUAAGGAACUCGGCAAAAUGACCCCGUAACUUCGGGAGAAGGGGUGCUCUUUAGGGUUAACGCCCAGAAGAGCCGCAGUGAAUAGGCCCAAGCGACUGUUUAUCAAAAACACAGGUCUCUGCUAAACCGUAAGGUGAUGUAUAGGGGCUGACGCCUGCCCGGUGCUGGAAGGUUAAGAGGAGUGGUUAGCUUCUGCGAAGCUACGAAUCGAAGCCCCAGUAAACGGCGGCCGUAACUAUAACGGUCCUAAGGUAGCGAAAUUCCUUGUCGGGUAAGUUCCGACCCGCACGAAAGGCGUAACGAUUUGGGCACUGUCUCAACGAGAGACUCGGUGAAAUCAUAGUACCUGUGAAGAUGCAGGUUACCCGCGACAGGACGGAAAGACCCCGUGGAGCUUUACUGUAGCCUGAUAUUGAAAUUCGGCACAGCUUGUACAGGAUAGGUAGGAGCCUUUGAAACGUGAGCGCUAGCUUACGUGGAGGCGCUGGUGGGAUACUACCCUAGCUGUGUUGGCUUUCUAACCCGCACCACUUAUCGUGGUGGGAGACAGUGUCAGGCGGGCAGUUUGACUGGGGCGGUCGCCUCCUAAAAGGUAACGGAGGCGCUCAAAGGUUCCCUCAGAAUGGUUGGAAAUCAUUCAUAGAGUGUAAAGGCAUAAGGGAGCUUGACUGCGAGACCUACAAGUCGAGCAGGGUCGAAAGACGGACUUAGUGAUCCGGUGGUU
RNAcentral lists this ribosomal RNA (2418 nucleotides) under Staphylococcus aureus. Its description in RNAcentral is "partial 23S ribosomal RNA". It matches the Rfam family "Bacterial large subunit ribosomal RNA", at positions 12 to 2428 of the family's 2925-position model. The record is from RNAcentral. Lineage: Bacteria; Bacillati; Bacillota; Bacilli; Caryophanales; Staphylococcaceae.